GAAUUAGCGUACUUAACGUAAUGUGAAUUCGACAGAAUUCAAGGUGAAGUCAUCGAAUCUUUGAACGCACCUUGCACCUUCCAGUCCUCUGGAAGGUAUGCCCGGUUGAGUAUUAUGAUCACCUCAAACCUAUGAUUUUCUGAUUGCAAAGACCAAUGCUCUGACGAAAGCACUCAGUGGGGUGCUAGUAGUUGCUGCUUGGUUUGGAAGAUCUUGGGUCUUGGACUUGAGCUCUGUUGGUUCCCUCCGGAUCAACUUGCUUGAAAUGUAUUAGCUGGCGACCUGCCUUCAAUGGUUACCACUCGGCGUAGUAAGUCUUAUUCGUCGAGGACACCUUGUACCUUCAUCGGAACAGGUGGCCAUUGUGCUGUGUCUUGAUAGCCGCUUCUAACCGUCUCUGGACAAUAUAACGAACUCUUUAAUCUCAACUCGGGUAGGACUACCCGCUGAACUUAAGCAUAUCAAUAAGCGGAGGAAAAAGAAAACUAAC
RNAcentral lists this ribosomal RNA (490 nucleotides) under uncultured Tulasnellaceae. Its description in RNAcentral is "eukaryotic LSU rRNA". The stretch from base 420 to 490 matches the Rfam family "Eukaryotic large subunit ribosomal RNA", at positions 1 to 69 of the family's 3401-position model. Lineage: Eukaryota; Fungi; Basidiomycota; Agaricomycetes; Cantharellales; Tulasnellaceae. The record is from RNAcentral.